CGCUUUUAGCUCACAUUACACCCUGAAUUUGUAAGCAGAGAUUUGGAAUGUGUCAAUGUGCUGUACAGAGCCAGCGAGAGGCAUGCUUCAAUGCAUGCUUGCCACACACAAUGUGCCCAGAGAGAUUGAUGUUUUUGUCAUCCACCUGCUUCUAAGCUGCAACAAACAGCCAUCUGAUGCAAACAGAGGAACCUAGCUAUUCAGCUCACAAACAAAAGAGAGAGAACCUCACAGCCCCUUUUUGCACAUCUGUUCUGGAGGAAUACAUCAGCUUUCUGACUGUGGCGCACACUGGGCUCGAAUGAUCCUGAAUGCAGUGUCUGGGAUUGGAACCUUCUGAACACAGAUGGUGUCGCAAAGAAACCAAAGAACUGAGUCCAUCUUCUGCCUGAAGCAAAGCCCUCCUUCCUCUCCUCUGGCUAGGUACUUGACAGUUGGAGCCAGUCAGGGUCACCUCCCACACUUCCCAGGGAUUUGAAGGGUGCAGCUCCGGAGCUGGAGGCCCCACGCCCCAGCGGCUGCCUGACUUGCCCCCAGCGAGAAGGCAGUUGAAGUGCAGGCAAGUCCGGGUCACACUGCCGAAUGGGAGCUGCGGGCCUCGAGGCUCGGCCAGGCUCGGCCGGGCACUGACACUUUUCUUGCUGUGAAAUAAGGCCAGACACAGGCUGCCAGGCACUGACUUGACCUCCUCAAACUGACGUGGUACUCGCUGGCAGAGUUCUCACCACUGCCACCGAGGUUGAAAACAAACUCUGCCCCCUUUUCAGUUCUUACUUUUUCCUUUGUUUUUGUUGAAAGCUUUUUUUUUUUUUCUCAUUUCUCCUUAAUUUUGUUCCUGCAUCAAACUGAAUGGAAGUUUAUAGUCGACAUCACAAACAGAAGAGUAAAGCACAACAAUCUAUUUUAAACGUCUGAUUUGUUGCAUUUUAUUUAUUAACAACAUAUAACAACAACAAAAAUAAUAAUUCUCACAUGAGAACAUAUUUCAAUCUACAUGUUACUGCUCUGAAACUGAGAACUUUUGACCCUUUUCAUUCUCUCUUUUUAUGUAAAAUCUAGCAAAUUAUUUAUUUCUAGAAACUCCACUUUUUGUGAUAAAUAAGAACAUUUCCAAAGUGAAUUAAUGACUGCAACUACACCCUAGCUUGAGCAACCUGAUGCAAAACAAUAGCUGAAAUUCUUUGACAGGUAAAAAAAAAACUCCUUCGACUGUUCCUGUCAGCUCCUUGAAUUUGAUUCCAUUUGAUGUAUCUUAACAUUUCACAUAUUUCAAGAGAUUAAAAAAAGGGUGAGUAUUAAUUCAGCAGUCAUUUAAAAGAUAUCCCGCCAAGGUAAAUCAGGUUAAUUGAACCUCUGUUACCAUAAAAAUGUCUUCUAAAUCCAUCCUCACUUUUUUUUGUCUCUGGCAACAUCUUGACAUAUCAUCAUCCGAGGUUUUGUUUAAUCAAAUUACACCGGCGCU
Molecule: long non-coding RNA, 1462 nt
Organism: Syngnathus typhle (broad-nosed pipefish)
Lineage: Eukaryota; Metazoa; Chordata; Actinopteri; Syngnathiformes; Syngnathidae
Exons: 3
Source: RefSeq, a predicted model, not a curated record